CCCCUGCGUAUUUGACUCAGCCUCGCUCACCCGCUAGCUUCUCUUAGUAACGAUACACUCUAAUCAGAUUCAGUCGAUUACUCCCUCUCUCGCUCUCUCUCUCUCUCUCUCUCUCUCUCUCUCUCUCUCUCUCUCUCUCUCUCUCUCUCCACCGCGAGUUCUCUCCCCCUCGGUCGUGACUCUCUUCACUCUUCAGCCUCCAUCUCUCUCUCUCUCCUUGUUCUGAAAUCGAUUGAUACUUUUAAUUUUGAAAUUGGAUGGUGCCCAGAAGUCUAUAUAUAGAAUCUAUGGCUCGGAGCCAACAGUCUCAGAGUCAGAGCCCAAGUGCCAAAGCUCCGACCUUUAUCUUCCACAAUCUACCUCAACCUCCCGACCGCGUAACUGGGCUCGAAGGAGAACAACCCAUCCUGUGUUAGGGUUUCAAGAACCCUAGAAUUAAGUUAAGGAAAUCUGGGGUUGAUUGAGUUUGAAUUUUUAGGGCUCAAAGUUGAUUGAAUAUUAUUAGGAUUUUAAUUAUGAUUUUGGUUUCUGACAGGGUUCAUUGGAGGUUUCGGCGACAGAGAUGAAGAGAUGGACGCCCGGUGACUUUGAUAUUGGAAAGCCUCUGGGACAUCGAAAGUUUAGUCAUGUCUAUUUGGCAAGAGAGAAGAGGGUGUCAUGGAUACCUAUCUACCUCUUAAUAAAUUGGCUAUGCAUUUGGUUAAUCAGAAUGACAAGCAUUGAACCUUUUGUGAGCUGUUGCACUUUGACUUGCCACAAGCCCUGGAAGACAAGUAUAAAGGCUACAUGAAUCGCAGAUUUGUGACAAGGGAGAUUGGCCAGACGGGUUGGAGAAACUGAUGGUCUAUAUAAAGCAAAAAUAUCAAAACCCAAAAAUCUAUAUUGCUGAAAAUGGUUUGAUUUCUUAAACUUCAGCUAAGCCCCGUUUAUACUAAAAAAUUAUCCUAACAUGAUUUUUUUAUAUCUUAUCCGUGUCUUUUCGAUCAAUGUAAGAUUUCCUCUUUCCAGGAAGGACAACUUACCACUUCCUGAACAGAGGACUUAGAUCGAAUCUCCUAUAUUGUUUCUUUUUAGACAGUAGUUGUUUUUUGCUUGGGCAGAUGAGUUUCAAUUUUACUGGCAAGUUGUUUAUUCUGCAGUUUGAGUUGCUGCAGUGUCAUUGUUUAUGGUCAACCAAAAAAUGGCUAAGAGCUGGGGUCUCGGCACAGUAUUGCUCACUCUUGUGGUUAAAAUUUGGUUGGACAUGAAUUGCAAGUUGUACUUUGAACUGAUACAUAAGAAGUACAUUGUAGUAGGAGACCUCUUUGUAGUUUUUUGUAUGUUUUGGCAAUCUAUGAGAAUGAUGUGCUACUAAAUGACAUUUGGAACUUAUUUGUAUCAACAUUUUCAUAUUUGCCUAUUUCCAGGAA
Molecule: long non-coding RNA, 1409 nt
Organism: Rosa chinensis
Lineage: Eukaryota; Viridiplantae; Streptophyta; Magnoliopsida; Rosales; Rosaceae
Exons: 5
Source: RefSeq, a predicted model, not a curated record